Molecule: RNA transcript, 3218 nt
Organism: Homo sapiens (human)
Lineage: Eukaryota; Metazoa; Chordata; Mammalia; Primates; Hominidae
Gene: SUGT1P4-STRA6LP
Gene name: SUGT1P4-STRA6LP readthrough
Exons: 16
Source: RefSeq, marked validated
GGAAGCUCGGUUGGGGUUUCUGCAGAAGUUUCCCCCUUGGGCGGUGGCGGAGCUGAUAAGCGCGCUAGUAGCAGCUCUGGCAGAAGCAACGGUGGCUUCGAGGGAUGGCGGCGGCUGCAACAGGACCUGCAGCAUCCCAGAGGAACUGACUAAGGCUUUGGAACAGAAACCAGAUGAUGCACAAUAUUAUCGUCAAAGAGCUUAUUGUCACAUUCUUCUUGGGAAUUACUGUGGUGCAGAUGCUAAUUUCAGUGACUGGAUUAAAAGGUGUCGAAGCUCAGAAUGGCUCGGAAUCUGAGGUGUUUGUGGAGAAUUAUGAGACCCUCGUGUUUUACUGGCCCUCGCUGCUGUGCCUUGCCUUCCUGCUGGGCCGCUUCCUGCAUAUGUUUGUCAAGGCUCUGAGGGUGCACCUCGGCUGGGAGCUCCAGGUGGAAGAAAAAUCUGUCCUGGAAGUGCACCAGGGAGAGCACGUCAAGCAGCUCCUGAGGAUACCCCGCCCUCAAGAGAAAAAAAAGUCUUGGUUCCAAACCAGGAUAUAUGAGUGGGAUCCCUGCUUUCAAUUUCCAAGCAGAAUGAUUGGAACCAUUGUGUUGGCAUUCAUCUGCCUGUAUCUUUUCAUUGUCAUCGAGUUCUGCGUGUUUGUGUACGUGAGAGAUGAGUUGGAUGUGCUUGAAAACAACCUGGAAAGCUACAUCACCUUCACGAACCAUUCAGGGGUCCUGACCCCAGUCAUCCUGCAGGUGAAAGAGCUGAUCAGUGUCACCAAAGGAGUCUGGGUGGCGACCAUUUUGCCCGCGUAUCUCACGUGUGUGAGCUAUCUGUUCCACAUUUUGGUCUGUUACAGAAAGCACAUGAAGAGGCUAUGGGCAGGAGAUAAACAUUUUCUUCCUUUGAAGUUCCAUAACCCGGCCUCGUCGGAGAGCAUGGUGGCCAUUGCAAGGUACUCUGGCUGGCAAAUAGCCUAUAUUCUGUGGGGCUACCUCAUCAUUCACAUGGUACAGAGCCUAUGUGGCAUGGCAAUCAUGUACAGCCUGGUGCUACCCAUCGUCCAAACCAGGGCCUGGAAAUGCUGCAAGGGCUGGGCAUUGGGAUCCUUACAAUAUCCAUCGUUGUGGGUCUCAUGAUCCUGCAGAUGUGUAUCGCUGCCAGCUUCUUCCUACAGCCAAAGCUGGGCACGGCUGACAAGCAGAAGCCCCUGGCUCUCAACAACAGGAAAGCGUUCCACAACUUCAACUACUUUCUGUUCUUCUACAACGUGCUGCUGGGCCUGGGUGCCUGCCUUUCCAGGCUGCUCAUCAGUUGCCUCCUCGGCAUGUGGCUGAUUGCCCGCAUCGACAGGACCAUCAUGCAGAGUGGCUAUGAGGGAGCAGACAUGGGGUUCAGUGCAUGGAUUGGGAUGCUCUACAUGGACCAUUAUCACAUCAACCCUGUGCUUGUCAGCUUUUGCCACAUCCUGAUCACAAAUCACAGGGAGAAGAAGCUGCAGCAGAGCACCAAAUACUGGUGCCUAAAUCAAUCGGCAGGUCCCCAUGUCUCAGCUAGGUCCAGAACAAGGUGGUUCCUGUUGCAGACCCUAAUCGACAACCCAAGACUCACCAUGCACAGAAAAUUAAAAUUAGGGCACAGUUCCCAGGAGUCCCAAAUUCUGAUGGCAUGCUCGGAGAGCUGACGCUGGCCCCCAUCAUCUGCUCCAAAGCCAGGCUAGGACAUCUGCCACCAAGAGAGGGCUCAAUCUAACCAGCAGCUGUCCCCUGCAAUGAAAUGGGAUGGCACAGGCACCAUCCAUGCAGAUGGCAGACAACAAUGGUCACUCAUGGGAUGGCCACCUGGGCUGAGGGAUGAAGUUUCAGGACUAUUUCACUCCCUUGGCAAAAAAGAUUAAAAAACUAAAGAAAAGUCUGUUGAACAAACUUUACCCAUUAAUGACUUCCACUAUCCAUUGUGGGUAGGCAGCCUUGGAGAGUUACUUGUUAAAAAGCACUUAGUUUACCUACAAAGCAGAAUUUUAUGUCACUGGAGAAGGUGGUAAAAUGUGUACAUCAGGAGAGUUUAACCAUCAGAUCCUAAUUUUUCUCUGGAACAGAAUGUGGAUUUCAAUCUGACAGUAUCCUCAUUGCUUUCUUCUUGCCAGGCUUUAUGGUGGAUGGAAAAAAAGGAAAUCCAUGAUCCUGGUCCCCAGUGUUUUUAGACAAGCAGGCACACAACAGGCUUUCUCUCCCAUUGCCACUGAGAUGAGGAAUGGAUCAGAGCUAACUUGGGCAUUAGUCAUAAAGCAGAUGCACAGAUUCUCUCUAAUAAGGGUGGGAUUACUUGGAAAAGCCACCUGUCUGAAGAUACAAAGACAGGGUAGGCAGGUAUUCCAGGUGGGGGAUCACAAGAGUAAAGUUCUGUGAGCAAGCAAGCCCCAAGCAUGUUUGAGGAGGGUGAGCCAUGUGACAUGUCGGGGUACAGAACUCUAGGGGCUGGCCAGGACCAUCCCAAGAAGGGCCAAAUGUCAUGCCAGGAGGCUUGGACAUUUGUCCUGUGCAAAGCCCAGUACUUAACCACAUUUCAUGCUGAAGCACAAAAACCUGGCCCAGGACCUGUACAAAAUCUGUCCAUUCAAAAUUCCUUAUGAAGCUUCUGCAGAUAUUAUGAGGAUCCCACCAACAAGACAAAGGGGAAUCCCCAUUCCCCUCAUGAAUCCAAGAGCAAUUGUAAUUCAGUUGUUAUUGUUAAGCACCUAAUGUAAAACCUAGUCCUGUUGCUAGGUGUUUGCCAGCAUUGUCUCUUAGUUUAAUCUCUGUAACUGAGCUUUAUCAUCCUGCUUUUUAGAAACUGAGAAAACCAAGACUCAAAGUGUUGGGAUUCUCAUGCCACCACUUUGUAGGUGUGUGCCAGCAGCUCAAUUACUUUGCCUUUAUUCACUUUUCUUAUCUAUAAAAAGAGAGUAAUACCCCCUAACACCUAAAAUUGUUUUGAGGAAAAAAAUGAGUUAAUAGAGACAAACACUCUUAAGAUAGUGUCUCACACAUCCUAAACUCUCAAUAGAUAUUAACUAUUAUUAUUUGUCAUAUAACACUUCGUGAUGAUCUGAUUAAUAUCUGCUCACCCCCUCACUAAGAUACCAGCUCCAUGAAGAAAGAGGCCUUCUCAGGUUUUGCUUACUAUCACCAAGCACACACCUAUAACAUAAUAAGAUCUUGGAAUGAAUAAAAUAAUGAGAUCAAGAUGAAUAA